GAUGAAGAACGUAGCGAAACGCGAAAGGUAAUGCGAAUUGCAGAAUCAGUGAGUCAUCGAAUCUUUGAACGCACAUUGCGCCCCUUGGUAUUCCAUGGGGCAUGCCUGUUCGAGCGUCAUUUGUACCUUCAAGCUCUGCUUGGUGUUGGGUGUUUGUCUCGCCUCUGCGUGUAGACUCGCCUCAAAACAAUUGGCAGCCGGCGUAUUGAUUUCGGAGCGCAGUACAUCUCGCGCUUUGCACUCAUAACGACGACGUCCAAAAGUACAUUUUUACACUCUUGACCUCGGAUCAGGUAGGGAUACCCGCUGAACUUAAGCAUAUCAAUAAGCGGAGGA
Molecule: unclassified non-coding RNA, 336 nt
Filed under: soil metagenome
Description: partial contains 5.8S ribosomal RNA, internal transcribed spacer 2, and large subunit ribosomal RNA
Rfam family: 5.8S ribosomal RNA (bases 1-119)
Source: RNAcentral